GGCAACCCUGACGGAGCAACGCCGCGUGUGGGAGGACGGCCUUCGGGUUGUAAACCACUUUUCUCAGGGAAGAAGAACUGACGGUACCUGAGGAAUAAGCCUCGGCUAACUCCGUGCCAGCAGCCGCGGUAAGACGGAGGAUGCAAGCGUUAUCCGGAAUUAUUGGGCGUAAAGCGUCCGCAGGUGGUGAGUCAAGUCUGCUGUCAAAGCCAGGAGCUCAACUCCUGUCCGGCAGUGGAAACUGACCCACUCGAGGGUGGUAGGGGUAGAGGGAAUUCCCAGUGUAGCGGUGAAAUGCGUAGAGAUUGGGAAGAACACCGGUGGCGAAAGCGCUCUACUGGACCACACCUGACACUCAGAGGACGAAAGCUAGGGGAGCG
This 380-nucleotide ribosomal RNA is filed under the name uncultured cyanobacterium. RNAcentral's name for it is "bacterial SSU rRNA". It matches the Rfam family "Bacterial small subunit ribosomal RNA", at positions 376 to 770 of the family's 1533-position model. The record is from RNAcentral. Lineage: Bacteria; Bacillati; Cyanobacteriota.